AACGGCCGUACCAUGCUGAAUAUACCAGUUCUGGUUAGAUCACCGAAGUCAAGCAUCAUUGGGCGCGAUCAGUACUUGGGUGGGUGACCACCUGGGAACACCGCGUGCCGUU
RNAcentral lists this ribosomal RNA (112 nucleotides) under Caerostris extrusa. Lineage: Eukaryota; Metazoa; Arthropoda; Arachnida; Araneae; Araneidae. The record is from RNAcentral.